UCUCCGUUGGUGAACCAGCGGAGGGAUCAUUACCGAGUUUACAACUCCCAAACCCCUAUGUGAACGUUACCAAACUGUUGCCUCGGCGGGAAAUUCAUGCCCCGGGCGCGUCGCAGCCCCGGACCAAGGCGCCCGCCGGAGGACCAACCAAAACUCUGUUGUAUGUCCCUCGCGGACUUUCAUAAUUCUGAACCAUCUCGGCGCCCCUAGCGGGCGUUUCGGAAAUGAAUCAAAACUUUCAACAACGGAUCUCUUGGUUCUG
RNAcentral lists this unclassified non-coding RNA (262 nucleotides) under plant metagenome. Its description in RNAcentral is "partial contains small subunit ribosomal RNA, internal transcribed spacer 1, and 5.8S ribosomal RNA". The record is from RNAcentral.